GGUAUUAAACCCUCAGAGACUCCCUGUCCUGUGACCCCUCCCCCCCUUGACCUCCUGACCCCCCCCGCCUGUCGGGGUCAGGUGGAGGUCCGGCUGUGGUCGGUUCUGAAACCUGCAGACGUCACGUAACCGAGCGACACCAUCAAAAGACACAAUGUGCCACAGACGAGUCGCAGUAAUCUGCUCAGUGUCCCUGUGAUGAAGUCUGACUGAUGUAACCGAGUACUUUAAUCAAGUACUGCAUCAGUUUACUGCUGCUGGAGGGUAACGCAGUACAUGUACUCAGAGUUGGUACUUUGUUUUUUUGAGUUACUUUUACUUGAAGUAUUUUCUGUUUUAUUUCCCGCUGAUGAAAUGUAACUAUUCUCAGUUACUCAAUUACUAAAGUAUGAAGUUACUAAGUACAUUUACUCAAGUGUGUACAUCAUGUUCUUACGUACGUAUCGGAGGUGUGUUGUACUUUACUUUGUCCCGUGAUCGAAAGGUAACAGAGUAGUUUUACUCAACAGGUGUAUUUUAUUCCUAGCGAUGGAAUGUAACUAAGUACAUUUACUCAAGUACCUGUUUUUAAAGGGUAAUUCCGCUAAGUUUCCACAUUAAAAGUGUGUUUGCAGACUUCUGUGGCUGCAGGAGAAGCUGAGUGUAGUCCGAUGAACCACCUCCAGUGAUGUCACACAGUGGCGAGUGAGUUGCAUUGUGGGUAUUGUAGGCACUAUGUUUUGAAACGUGUUUAAAGAGGUGAAAUCUCUCUAUCCUCUGCUGAUGUUGUUGUUGUUGUUGUUGGGUCUGAUUUUUCUUUAUCUUUCCUUUUAAAUUAUCAUCAAAUAAUUAAUCGUCUGUCAAUAAACAAAUCAAUUAAGAGAUCCAGAGUCUCGUAUGUCGACUCGCGUUGAGGUGGACAGUUAACGCGUCGGAGGAAAAGCUGACGGAUGAAAAAAAAAAAAAAAAAAGUCUCACAGCAGCUUAAUAUCAUGAGCGGAGCUGCAGAGAGGAACAAUCCCUGUGAGGUUAGAGAGGAGGGCAAGGACAUGUUGCAUCAUCAUAACACACACACACACACACACACACACACACACACACACACACACACACUUCAGCAUCAAUCGUUCCUCCGACGGUCGUUAAAGCAGCACAGAACAAACACUUCACUCGAGCAUUUAUGAUUUUAUUCUUCUUUUUGAUUUCUGGAUUCUGGAAUUCAAAAAGGAUUUUUUUUCUUACAGAUUUGUAGGUAGAAACAGCGGCCAUUUUGUGCCGGCACAGGCCUCCAGGACGAGCGCCAUCGUCUCGUGAUGCACUCGGGCCUAAAAACACUCGUGAGAUAACGCGGUGAAGGACGAAGCGUACGCUGUCGACCGAGUGGGUCGACUGGAGAUCCGGCAGACGGUCCCUGAUUAUUAUCUGAAGAGUUACGUUGUGCGUCACAAAUGCACCAGAAAGGAGGAACAACACCAAACAACAACAGGCCGCAUCCCAAAUACUUCAACUCCGAGUGUUCAUCUCAUCUCGAACUCAGCGAGAGACAAUAAAAAGGAAAGAGAAGAGUCUGACAUGUUCACGACCAGUUGAACAGCUGACGGUGAUGUGGGUGGUCUCGGGUGGAGACAUAAGGGGCUUUAACAACAGCACUCUCAUCUGUAGAUAUAGCCAGCAAAGGAUUACAGAGGAUUACUAUCGCAGCGUGUCUGCUGCACGUCACCGGUCACGAGCUGUGGAGUCGAGUCUGCCGUCGUGCACGAUGGAGAUCGUAAUAUUCAACUUCGAUAUAAUGUUUUUAUCAGAACGACAGCAGAGACGUCGACUCCUCAACAACACCGACA
Acanthopagrus latus (yellowfin seabream) is the source of this 1820-nucleotide long non-coding RNA. RefSeq lists it as uncharacterized. The record is from RefSeq and is a predicted model, not a curated record. NCBI's taxonomy places the organism in Eukaryota, Metazoa, Chordata, Actinopteri, Spariformes, Sparidae. The transcript has 2 exons.